RNAcentral lists this ribosomal RNA (325 nucleotides) under Trevathana sarae. Its description in RNAcentral is "partial 12S ribosomal RNA". The record is from RNAcentral. Lineage: Eukaryota; Metazoa; Arthropoda; Thecostraca; Balanomorpha; Pyrgomatidae.
AGAUACCCUGUUACUUAUAGUUAAAAAAUUUUGGAGAAGUAGUAAUAAUGAAAUUUAACGGACUUGGCGGCAAGAUAGCCAUUCAGAGGAACCUGCCCUGUAAACGAUGAACCACGAAAUACCCUACUUUUUCUUGUUAACAGUUUGUAUACCGCUGUUGUCAGUCAGUUUUUUUAGAAAACUUUCUAUUAUGAUAUAAUCAUAAACUUCAAGUAAAGGUGCAGCUUAUGUAAAAGAUAGAGGUGGGUUACAUUUAUAGAAUAAAACGAAUAAAGAUUUUGAAAUACUUUUGAAGUUGGAUUUGAUUGUAAAGUUCAAGAAAACU